GUGGAGAAGGCGCUCGGGGUGCAGCUGCCACCGGAAGGAAGCUUCCGAGAUUAAGCCCCUUCCAGCCACGUCAAUCAUUUUUGCCGUUAGCUGCGCGACUCGAGGCGGCGAUUCUGCCUCCGAGGUCACCACUUGCCUGGGUAGCCUUUGGCCUCCAGCCUCCGUACGUCGAUCCCUCCAGAGAGGGCCUGGACGGGGCUAAAUUGGGAGAGGUGAGUGAUCUUAACCCUUACUUCCAAACCGAACCAUAUACAAAACAAAUAAACAGAAACGCGCCCCGCAAGUGUA
Long non-coding RNA from Suricata suricatta (meerkat), 288 nucleotides. RefSeq lists it as uncharacterized. The transcript has 2 exons. Lineage: Eukaryota; Metazoa; Chordata; Mammalia; Carnivora; Herpestidae. The record is from RefSeq and is a predicted model, not a curated record.